Molecule: ribosomal RNA, 253 nt
Filed under: uncultured bacterium
Lineage: Bacteria
Description: partial 16S ribosomal RNA
Rfam family: Bacterial small subunit ribosomal RNA
Source: RNAcentral
UACGUAGGUGGCAAGCGUUAUCCGGGUUUAUUGGGUGUAAAGGGCGUGUAGGCGGGAGCGCAAGUCAGAUGUGAAAACUCAGGGCUCAACCCUGAGCCUGCAUUUGAAACUGUGUUUCUUGAGUGCUGGAGAGGCAAUCGGAAUUCCGUGUGUAGCGGUGAAAUGCGUAGAUAUACGGAGGAACACCAGUGGCGAAGGCGGAUUGCUGGACAGUAACUGACGCUGAGGCGCGAAAGCGUGGGGAGCAAGCAGG